AAAACUGUGGUUGAUCGGUUCUUAUCCACGGUACCAAAAGAAAAUUAAUAAACUACUAAUCCAGACAUAUGAUCGUAUUCUCAUGCCCAUCGAAGUUCUAUAAAUACCCAACUCACUUUCUAGUUUAAUCAUCUACAACUGAGAAGAACAUUAUAACAGUGAAGCAAGAACAACUCCAAAGGCGAAUAUAUUUAUCGAUCAGGAUUACAAAUGGCUGCAACUUGUGUCAAUGAGGUUAAGACGGAGUGGCCAGAACUAGUUGGGAAACUAGGGGACGAUGCAAAGGAGACAAUCGAGAGAGAAGAUCCAGGUUUACGUCAGGUCGUGAUCGUUUUAGAAGGUAGCAUAAUUGAUAUGGCAAUUAUCCCGGACAGAGUUCGUGUUUGGGUCGAUGAGAGGAACAUCGUAACACGGGUGCCAAAAACUGGUUGAUGUAUAAAAGUUAGCUGCGACUGAUUGAUUGAUCGGUGGAUCAAUGGAAUAAAUGAGCUAGUUAUGUUCUAUUUUGGCUAGCUGACAUGUGGUUGUAAUUUAAUGCUUAAACUAAGUAUUAAUGUAUCGAUGUUUAACUAAUUAAUAAAAGUAUUUGUGUGUAUUUAAUCUAUUUUUAA
Molecule: long non-coding RNA, 611 nt
Organism: Papaver somniferum (opium poppy)
Lineage: Eukaryota; Viridiplantae; Streptophyta; Magnoliopsida; Ranunculales; Papaveraceae
Exons: 2
Source: RefSeq, a predicted model, not a curated record